GACGAACGCUGGCGGCGUGCUUAACACAUGCAAGUCGAACGAAGUGGCGAACGUGUGAGUAACGCGUAAUCAACCUGCCCUUCAGUGGGGGACACCAGUUGGCAACGACUGCUAAUACCGCAUACUGAAGGAGGGGAUUGCGUCUGAUUCGCUAGGUGGCGGGGUAACGGCCCACCAAGGCGAGGAGCCGUAGACGGUCUGAGCGGCAGAACGGCCAAAAUGGGAAUGGGAAACGGCCCAGACGCCUACGGGAGGCAGCAGUGGGGAAUCUUCCGAAAUGGACGAAAGUCUGACGGAGCAACGCCGCGUGAGUGAUGACGGCCUUCGGGUUGUAAAGAUCUGUUAAUCGGGACGCGGUACCGGAAUAGAAAGCCACGGCUAACUACGUGCCAGCAGCCGCGGUAAUUC
RNAcentral lists this ribosomal RNA (408 nucleotides) under uncultured bacterium. Its description in RNAcentral is "partial 16S ribosomal RNA". It matches the Rfam family "Bacterial small subunit ribosomal RNA", at positions 28 to 526 of the family's 1533-position model. The record is from RNAcentral.